UACGGGGGGGGCAAGCGUUGUUCGGAAUUACUGGGCGUAAAGGGCUCGUAGGUGGCCAACUAAGUCAGACGUGAAAUCCCUCGGCUUAACCGGGGAACUGCGUCUGAUACUGGAUGGCUCGAGUUUGGGAGAGGGAUGCGGAAUUCCAGGUGUAGCGGUGAAAUGCGUAGAUAUCUGGAGGAACACCGGUGGCGAAGGCGGCAUCCUGGACCGGUAUUGACGCUGAGGCGCGAAAGCUAGGGGAGCAAACGGG
RNAcentral lists this ribosomal RNA (253 nucleotides) under uncultured bacterium. RNAcentral's name for it is "partial 16S ribosomal RNA". It matches the Rfam family "Bacterial small subunit ribosomal RNA", at positions 524 to 776 of the family's 1533-position model. The record is from RNAcentral.